RNAcentral lists this ribosomal RNA (319 nucleotides) under uncultured eukaryote. RNAcentral describes it as "partial 18S ribosomal RNA". It matches the Rfam family "Eukaryotic small subunit ribosomal RNA", at positions 1470 to 1796 of the family's 1831-position model. The record is from RNAcentral.
CCCUUAGAUGUUCUGGGCUGCACGCGUGCUACAAUGGCGUUUCCAGCAAGUCUGCGAACCCGAGAGGGCCAGCGGAUCUUCGAAUUGGCGUCGUGAUCGGGACAGUCGAUUGCAAUUAUUUGACUCAAACGAGGAAUUCCUUGUAAUCGCGAUUCAUCAUAUCGCGCUGAAUACGUCCCUGCCCUUUGUACACACCGCCCGUCGCUCCUACCGAUUGAGCGAUCCGGUAAAUGUUUUGGAUUGGGGCCGGGGCGGCUAGCUGCCGGUCGCUACGAAAUUUUGUGAACCUUAUCGCUUAGAGGAAGGAAAAGUCGUAACA